CAUCCGUCCCUCGUGAAGGCUGAGAUCUGAUGGGUAGUGCGAAUGCACGAAAUGGGUGAUCCUAUGCUGCCAAGAAAAGCCUCGACGCGAGGUUCUAGCCGCCCGUACCCCAAACCGACUCAGGUGGUCAGGUAGAGAAUACCAAGGCGAUCGAGUGAAUCGUGGUUAAGGAACUCGGCAAAUUGCCCCCGUAACUUCGGGAGAAGGGGGGCCUGAGGCGUGAAGGCACUUGCUGCCGGAGCGUUUGAAGGCCGUAGAGACCAGGGAGAAGCGACUGUUUACUAAAAACACAGGUCCGUGCGAAGUUGCAAAACGAUGUAUACGGACUGACGCCUGCCCGGUGCUGGAACGUUAAGGGGACGGGUUAGCCGCAAGGCGAAGCUCAGAACUUAAGCGCCAGUAAACGGCGGUGGUAGCUAUAACCAUCCUAAGGUAGCGAAAUUCCUUGUCGGGUAAGUUCCGACCUGCACGAAUGGCGUAACGACUUCUCCGCUGUCUCAACCGCGAACUCGGCGAAAUUGCACUACGAGCAAAGAUGCUCGUUACGCGCAGCAGGACGGAAAGACCCCGGGACCUUUACUACAGCUUGGUAUUGGUGUUCGGUGCGGCUUGUGUAGGAUAGGUGGGAGACGGUGAAGCGGGCACGCCAGUGUUCGUGGAGUCAACGUUGAAAUACCACUCUGGUCGCUCUGGAUAUCUAACCUCGGUCCGUGAUCCGGAUCAGGGACAGUGCCUGGUGGGUAGUUUAACUGGGGCGGUUGCCUCCUAAAAUGUAACGGAGGCGCUCAAAGGUUCCCUCAGCCUGGUUGGCAAUCAGGUGUCGAGUGUAAAUGCACAAGGGAGCUUGACUGUGAGACUGACAAGUCGAGCAGGGACGAGAGUCGGAAUUAGUGACCCUCCCGUGGUUUGUGGAAACGCGGGGGCUCAACGGAUAAAAGGUACCCCGGGGAUAACAGGCUGAUCUUGCCCAAGAGUCCAUAUCGACGGCAUGGUUUGGCACCUCGAUGUCGGCUCGUCGCAUCCUGGGGCUGGAGUCGGUCCCAAGGGUUGGGCUGUUCGCCCAUUAAAGCGGUACGCGAGCUGGGUUUAGAACGUCGUGAGACAGUUCGGUCCCUAUCCGCUGCGCGCGCAGGAAACUUGAGAAGGGCUGUCCUUAGUACGAGAGGACCGGGACGGACGAACCUCUGGUGUGUCAGUUGUUCCGCCAGGAGCACCGCUGAUUAGCUACGUUCGGAAGGGAUAACCGCUGAAAGCAUCUAAGCGGGAAGCUCGCUUCAAGAUGAGGUUUCCAUGGGGUUUACCCCGAGAGGCUCCCAGCUAGACUACUGGGUUGAUAGGCCGGAUGUGGAAGCGAGGACUAAAGACUCGUGAAGCUGACCGGUACUAAUAAGCCGAUAACUUU
This 1402-nucleotide ribosomal RNA is filed under the name metagenome. RNAcentral describes it as "bacterial LSU rRNA". It matches the Rfam family "Bacterial large subunit ribosomal RNA", at positions 1539 to 2925 of the family's 2925-position model. The record is from RNAcentral.